CAAAACGACUCUCGGCAAUGGAUAUCUCGGCUCUUGCAUCGAUGAAGAACGUAGUGAAAUGCGAUACUUGGUGUGAAUUGCAGAAUCUCGUGAACCAUUGAGUCUUUGAACGCAAGUUGUGCCCGAGGCCUUGUGGCCGAGGGCACGCCUGCUUGGGGGUCAUGGC
RNAcentral lists this ribosomal RNA (166 nucleotides) under Cornukaempferia aurantiflora. RNAcentral's name for it is "5.8S ribosomal RNA". It matches the Rfam family "5.8S ribosomal RNA". From Rfam's summary of the family: 5.8S ribosomal RNA (5.8S rRNA) is a component of the large subunit of the eukaryotic ribosome. It is transcribed by RNA polymerase I as part of the 45S precursor that also contains 18S and 28S rRNA. Lineage: Eukaryota; Viridiplantae; Streptophyta; Magnoliopsida; Zingiberales; Zingiberaceae. The record is from RNAcentral.